This is a non-coding RNA of Mycena alexandri, 94 nucleotides long. The record is from the annotation of a GenBank genome assembly. Lineage: Eukaryota; Fungi; Basidiomycota; Agaricomycetes; Agaricales; Mycenaceae.
UGCCUAGUAGCAAAAUGGUUAGUGCAUCUCUCCAUGCUAGCAGUUGUAGAUGCCACCUGCACAGAGGACCUCUGUUCGAAUCAGAGUUGGGCCA